RNAcentral lists this ribosomal RNA (251 nucleotides) under uncultured prokaryote. RNAcentral's name for it is "partial 16S rRNA". It matches the Rfam family "Bacterial small subunit ribosomal RNA", at positions 525 to 775 of the family's 1533-position model. The record is from RNAcentral.
ACGGAGGGUGCAAGCGUUACUCGGAAUCACUGGGCGUAAAGAGCGUGUAGGCGGAUAUAUAAGUCAGAAGUGAAAUCCAAUAGCUUAACUAUUGAACUGCUUUUGAAACUGUAUAUCUAGAAUGUGGGAGAGGUAGAUGGAAUUUCUGGUGGUGGGGUUAAAAUCGUAGAAGUUAAGAAGAAAACCCAAUUGCGAGGCGGAUCUCCUGAAAAUUUAUGGCGGUUGGGCGGCGAAGGGUUGGGAGCAAACAG